GGAAUUUGAAAAGCUUAGGUUCAUGAUUAAUUUUUAAAAAAAAUACAAGGGUCCAAAUGCAUAUUUUAGCCAAUGUUAUGGAGUUUUAGGCAUGCGUGUCCUUAGGCUUGUUUUGUCUUCUAACUGUUCUGCUUGUAUCCUAUAAUUAGGAAUGUAUUUCCAAUUCUAUUGUUCUUAUUUAUGUAGACCAUGCCUAAAUUAAAUGCUGAUUCCAUUUAAAAUUUCUAAAACACAGGGGACAGAGGAAAAGGGGGCAGGGAGCCUAUUCUUGGAAAUUUGAGAUUUUCUGGAAAAUGGCAUAAAAUUAUUGAUUUAACUACUACAAAAUGUAAGAUAUUGGGGCUUGGUUUCACUCAACUGAAAACUUAGAAAAGGGACUUGUAUAUCCUGUCUUUAGGUUUUUGAAAUGCUAGUCUUGUUUUCUGAUUGAUGCCUUAAUCUGCAACAAGAUGGACAUCAAC
Molecule: unclassified non-coding RNA, 461 nt
Filed under: Hevea brasiliensis (rubber tree)
Lineage: Eukaryota; Viridiplantae; Streptophyta; Magnoliopsida; Malpighiales; Euphorbiaceae
Source: RNAcentral